This 240-nucleotide long non-coding RNA is filed under the name Hordeum vulgare. RNAcentral describes it as "long non-coding RNA (HVUL_LNC005426)". Lineage: Eukaryota; Viridiplantae; Streptophyta; Magnoliopsida; Poales; Poaceae. The record is from RNAcentral.
UCUCUACCACACGGUGGAGAACGUCACCGAGCAUCAAGCAGUCUGCGCCUUCAAGGCAGGCGUGCGGUACAGAGAGCUGUACUUAAAGUUCGGUCGGACAGGCGACAUCUUCAUGAGCAAGAUGAUGGAGAUAGCGACGCGCUAUGCAAAUGGCGAAGAGGAGGACCGCAUCCGGAGCGGCAAGAACAAGACAGUCGGCGAUGCUGACGGAGGUAACACUCGGAAGCAGAAACAGAAAGC